AUCCCCAUGUCCAAGUGGUUAAGGAGAAAGAUUCGAAAUCUGUUGGGCUUUGCCUGCGCAGGUUCGAAUCCUGCUGUUGACG
Molecule: transfer RNA, 82 nt
Filed under: Amborella trichopoda
Lineage: Eukaryota; Viridiplantae; Streptophyta; Magnoliopsida; Amborellales; Amborellaceae
Rfam family: tRNA
About the family: Transfer RNA (tRNA) molecules are approximately 80 nucleotides in length.
Source: Rfam by way of RNAcentral